GAUGAACGCUGGCGGCGUGCCUAAUACAUGCAAGUCGAGCGCAUCGGCCCAACUGAUUGAAGAUGCUUGCAUCCGAUUGACGAUGGUUUACCGAUGAGCGGCGGACGGGUGAGUAACACGUAGGUAACCUGCCCAGAAGCGGGGGAUAACACCUGGAAACAGAUGCUAAUACCGCAUAGGUCAUUUGACCGCAUGGUCAAAUGAUUAAAGAUGGCUCUGCUAUCACUUCUGGAUGGACCUGCGGCGUAUUAGCUAGUUGGUAAGGUAACGGCUUACCAAGGCGAUGAUACGUAGCCGAGUUGAGAGACUGAUCGGCCACAUUGGGACUGAGACACGGCCCAG
Molecule: ribosomal RNA, 342 nt
Filed under: uncultured bacterium
Lineage: Bacteria
Description: bacterial SSU rRNA
Rfam family: Bacterial small subunit ribosomal RNA
Source: RNAcentral